CCUACGGGCGGCAGCAGUGAGGAAUAUUGGUCAAUGGACGAGAGUCUGAACCAGCCAAGUAGCGUGAAGGAUGACUGCCCUAUGGGUUGUAAACUUCUUUUAUAUGGGAAUAAAAUGUUCCACGUGUGGGAUUUUGUAUGUACCAUAUGAAUAAGGAUCGGCUAACUCCGUGCCAGCAGCCGCGGUAAUACGGAGGAUCCGAGCGUUAUCCGGAUUUAUUGGGUUUAAAGGGAGCGUAGGUGGAUUGUUAAGUCAGUUGUGAAAGUUUGCGGCUCAACCGUAAAAUUGCAGUUGAAACUGGCAGUCUUGAGUACAGUAGAGGUGGGCGGAAUUCGUGGUGUAGCGGUGAAAUGCUUAGAUAGCACGAAAAACUCCGAUUGCGAAGGCAGUUCACUGGACUGCAACUGACACUGAGGCUCGAAAGUGUGGGUAUCAAACAGGAUUAGAUACCCGUGUAGUC
This 460-nucleotide ribosomal RNA is filed under the name uncultured bacterium. Its description in RNAcentral is "partial 16S ribosomal RNA". It matches the Rfam family "Bacterial small subunit ribosomal RNA", at positions 338 to 795 of the family's 1533-position model. The record is from RNAcentral.